Molecule: unclassified non-coding RNA, 224 nt
Filed under: Hevea brasiliensis (rubber tree)
Lineage: Eukaryota; Viridiplantae; Streptophyta; Magnoliopsida; Malpighiales; Euphorbiaceae
Source: RNAcentral
UGACAGUGUCCAACGUAGGCGAAUUUCAGAACAAGCACGGAGAGGAUCGGAGAAGAUCGGGCGGUUACAGUUGGAGUUGAAGAAGCUACAGUUUCUAAUAAUGAAACUAGAUGGUGAAAGGGAGGCCAAAGGCAAAAGCAAAGUACCAGAGCGGAGUCCAAGAGUUCUUCUAAGGGACUAUCUUUACGGCGGGACGAGAACAAAGCAGAAGCAAAAGAAGAAGG